Molecule: ribosomal RNA, 253 nt
Filed under: uncultured bacterium
Lineage: Bacteria
Description: partial 16S ribosomal RNA
Rfam family: Bacterial small subunit ribosomal RNA
Source: RNAcentral
UACGUAGGGGGCUAGCGUUGUCCGGAAUCAUUGGGCGUAAAGAGCGUGUAGGCGGCCCGGUAAGUCCGCUGUGAAAGUCGGGGGCUCAACCCUCGAAUGCCGGUGGAUACUGUCGGGCUAGAGUGCGGAAGAGGCGAGUGGAAUUCCUGGUGUAGCGGUGAAAUGCGCAGAUAUCAGGAGGAACACCGGUGGCGAAGGCGCCACUCUGGGCCACGACUGACGCUGAGGAGCGAAAGCAUGGGUAGCAAACAGG